CGCGCCAUCGUCCAGGUCUCCUACGCCAUCGGUGUGCCUGAGCCUCUCUCCGUCUUUGUUGACACGUAUGGCACCGGCACGAUUCCUGACAAGGAGAUCCUCAAGAUUGUGAAGGAGAACUUUGACUUCAGGCCUGGCAUGAUCAUCAUCAACCUCGACCUCAAGAAAGGUGGCAACGGGCGCUACCUCAAGACGGCGGCCUACGGCCACUUUGGAAGGGACGACCCUGACUUCACCUGGGAGGUGGUGAAGCCCCUCAAGGCGGAGAAGCCUUCUGCCUAAGGCACCCUCACUUUUUCAGAAGAAGCUUUUGGUCUGCUGCGCUUUAUCAUGUUUUAUCUGGCUUCUAUAUGUUGUGAUUCUUGAUCUGCCCCUUGCUUAUCAUUUGUACUUGUACUGUCCUAAUAAGUGGUACUUGUGAGGGUCUUAUUGUGUCUGCUUAUUUACCUAGAGGAUUAUUUCUGGUUUUA
This 470-nucleotide long non-coding RNA is filed under the name Sorghum bicolor (sorghum). RNAcentral describes it as "long non-coding RNA (SBIC_LNC015326)". Lineage: Eukaryota; Viridiplantae; Streptophyta; Magnoliopsida; Poales; Poaceae. The record is from RNAcentral.